AAGGUUGACCUCGGAUCAGGUAGGAAUACCCGCUGAACUUAAGCAUAUCAAUAAGCGGAGGAAAAGAAACCAACAGGGAUUGCCCUAGUAACGGCGAGUGAAGCGGCAACAGCUCAAAUUUGAAAUCUGGCUACUUUUGUAGUCCCGAGUUGUAAUUUGUAGAGGAUGCUUUUGGUGAGGUGCUUUCUGAGUUCCCUGGAACGGGACGCCAAAGAGGGUGAGAGCCCCGUACAGUUAGAUACCAAACCUUUGUAUAGCUCCUUCGACG
This 268-nucleotide ribosomal RNA is filed under the name Bretziella fagacearum. Its description in RNAcentral is "partial 26S ribosomal RNA". It matches the Rfam family "Eukaryotic large subunit ribosomal RNA", at positions 1 to 262 of the family's 3401-position model. Lineage: Eukaryota; Fungi; Ascomycota; Sordariomycetes; Microascales; Ceratocystidaceae. The record is from RNAcentral.